This is a ribosomal RNA of 476 nucleotides. It matches the Rfam family "Bacterial large subunit ribosomal RNA", at positions 1 to 443 of the family's 2925-position model.
GAAAGACACACACAGCACACGGGGGAUGCCUCGGGUGCGGAAGGGCGAAGAAGGUCGUGGCACGCCACGAAAGGCCUCGGGGAGCCGCGUCGCAGGCAACGAUCCGAGGGUGACCGAAUGGGGAAACCCCGCGGCCGACCGGCCGCGAUGGCCGUCCAGCGGGACGGACCAGGCAAAACCGGGGAACUGAAACAUCUCAGUACCCGGAUCGGAAAAGCAAACGCGAACUCCGCAGUAGCGGCGAGCGACCCGGAGUGAGUCCAAACGCGUCAGGUCCUAAGACGGCUGGAGGCCGGACCUGAGGCGGGUUGUGGCGGCGUUGCGGGAGUCCUCCAGACGAUCCCGCGUGCGCCGGGAGACGAGGGUGAAGCGGUUGGAAUGCCGCGCCCCAGAGGGUGAAAGCCCCGUCGCUUUGGUCUCCCGGCGGCGUGCAACGCCGCCCGAGUACCACGCGGCACGAGAACCCGCGUGGGAAG